AGUGCAAUUGCUGGGUCAUAGGCUUCACAUUUCAUUUUACAAGAAACUACCAAACUGUCUUCCAGAGUGGCUGGACCAUUUUACAUUCCCACCAGUGGU
This 99-nucleotide microRNA precursor is filed under the name Marmota monax (woodchuck). The record is from RNAcentral. Lineage: Eukaryota; Metazoa; Chordata; Mammalia; Rodentia; Sciuridae.